Fukomys damarensis (Damara mole-rat) is the source of this 273-nucleotide long non-coding RNA. RefSeq lists it as uncharacterized. Lineage: Eukaryota; Metazoa; Chordata; Mammalia; Rodentia; Bathyergidae. The transcript has 2 exons. The record is from RefSeq and is a predicted model, not a curated record.
UGAACUGUGAGCUGCAAUAAACUUCUCCUCCUUUAAAUUUAGGUGUCAGGUAUUUUGUCUCAUCAACAGAAACAAAGGCACUUACUGACCAAGCAUAUUCAGGACAUUAAGAGAUGGGGAACAAAGUGCUUUCUAUCCCAGACAUUCAGAGUUGGAUCUUCUCUCCAUGCCUACAAAAUCAGAUGUCUACUCCUGCAGCAACACUAAUACUGUCAACACUGUGGCUAUGGCAAAGACACCAAGAAAACAAAUAAAUAAAUACCAUCUUUUGCA